This 253-nucleotide ribosomal RNA is filed under the name uncultured bacterium. RNAcentral describes it as "partial 16S ribosomal RNA". It matches the Rfam family "Bacterial small subunit ribosomal RNA", at positions 524 to 776 of the family's 1533-position model. The record is from RNAcentral.
UACGUAGGGACCAAGCGUUGUUCGGAUUUACUGGGCGUAAAGGGCGCGUAGGCGGCGUGACAAGUCACUUGUGAAAUCUCUGAGCUUAACUCAGAACGGCCAAGUGAAACUGUUGUGCUAGAGUGCAGAAGGGGCAAUCGGAAUUCUUGGUGUAGCGGUGAAAUGCGUAGAUAUCACGAGGAACACCUGAGGUGAAGACGGGUUGCUGGGCUGACACUGACGCUGAGGCGCGAAAGCCAGGGGAGCAAACGGG